This is a long non-coding RNA of Pipistrellus kuhlii (Kuhl's pipistrelle), 395 nucleotides long. RefSeq lists it as uncharacterized. NCBI's taxonomy places the organism in Eukaryota, Metazoa, Chordata, Mammalia, Chiroptera, Vespertilionidae. The transcript has 3 exons. The record is from RefSeq and is a predicted model, not a curated record.
CUAUAUAAAAGGCUAAGCAUCCGACCAUCUGACCGGUAGCUAUAACGUGCAGUGACUACCAGGGGGAAGAUGCUCCAACUGUAACUAUGAUGCACAAUGACCACCAGGAGGCAGACGCUCAACACAGGAGCUGCCAAGCUUUGGUGAUUGGCAGCGGUGGUUCUCCGGGAAUCAGAGAGGAGGGAGCCCAAUUCCAUCACCCUAGAACCGCCCUCUCACAAUCCAGGGCCCCUCUGGGAAUGUCGGAGAGGCAGUUUUGGUCCAAUCCCUGCAGGCCAAAUCCAGACAGGUGGGAGCCCAAUCCUGUGUACUGAGCAUCUGUCUCCUGGUGGUCAGUGUGCAUUAUAGCAACCAGUCAACCGGUUGUUUGGUCACUUAGGCUUUUAUAUAUAUAG